This 266-nucleotide ribosomal RNA is filed under the name uncultured prokaryote. RNAcentral describes it as "partial 16S ribosomal RNA". It matches the Rfam family "Bacterial small subunit ribosomal RNA", at positions 524 to 788 of the family's 1533-position model. The record is from RNAcentral.
UACGUAGAUGGCAAGCGUUAUCCGGAAUUAUUGGGCGUAAAGAGCGCGCAGGUGGUUGAUUAAGUCUGAUGUGAAAGCCCACGGCUUAACCGUGGAGGGUCAUUGGAAACUGGUCGACUUGAGUGCAGAAGAGGGAAGUGGAAUUCCAUGUGUAGCGGUGAAAUGCGUAGAGAUAUGGAGGAACACCAGUGGCGAAGGCGGCUUCCUGGUCUGUAACUGACACUGAGGCGCGAAAGCGUGGGGAGCAAACAGGAUUAGAUACCCCU